This 212-nucleotide unclassified non-coding RNA is filed under the name rhizosphere metagenome. RNAcentral describes it as "partial ribosomal RNA internal transcribed spacer region". The record is from RNAcentral.
GUAGGUGAACCUGCGGAAGGAUCAUUAGUGAAUGCCUGGGCUGUCAUACGGACUGCGGUCUCUGACGCCCACCCACUAUAUCCGCAAACCCUGUGCACUGUGGUGUUGUCUUGGACACACCUCGCCAACCAACUCGUCUUUGUAUCUGUACGUGUCUACUUGGCCUAAGCCAAAAAUCAACACAACUUUCGACAACGGAUCUCUUGGUUCUC